GCUGUGCAUUGCCAUUCUCUGGAGCAGCCAUUGGUUCAAGUACCCGAAAGCUUCUCAAUCCUUGCCCAGCUGCGAUGUCCUGAUUCACGACUUAAUCCUCACGGAUAUAUGCAUGAGAGUUCAUGCACCAUGGAUUGAUAGAAUGAUUUCAAUGCCUCGAUUCUGUUCUUUUGUCAUUACUAAAGGCCCCUAGCAGCAUCGGUUUUACCCCUUCUGUUGCCUUGCCUUUGUGUGGUGUGACCUCCUCGGCUCAGAAUCCUUCUACCCUUUCUGCUACUCAUCCUCUCCAAUUUAGUACCAUUUUAUGCAGUGGGAAUGGGAUCAUCAUAUGAGAUAAAAUGUCAUGUAAGAGCUGUUUAUUUUUUAUUUGGAUCAAAGUAGGCAGCGUAAGUGAAAUUUCCUCUGGUUUCUGAAUCGUUGAUUUCAAAGGAGUAUGUCAGCACCAUGACAAAGCAUUAAAGCCUUCAGAUAACCUACUACAUAUAUGAAGUAACAAUGUUCUUACUACACAGACAUGUAGCAAUUCUUAGUUUGAUAGUUUUAAUUUUUUUUUCCAAUGUUCAGCUUUCCCUUAGUGAUUAUGAAUUAAUUGUUCCAAUUGACAGUGACCAUUGACUAACCAUAUACUUUUGGUCUCACUAAGCUUGGUUAUUUCUGUUGUAGCUUGCUUAUCGCCUUUUUCGCCCCUCCAAUGUUUGUAGUAUGUCCUGCCUUAAUGCAAGUGCUAAUGUCUGAUUAAAGGAUGUUCUGCUGUGCCUUCAGAUUUGGAUUGGUACUUAUUUACAGAUUGACGAAUUCCCUUCUGACUUAUGGAUACAUUGCUUAUGAGCCCUACAUAGAAGUAGAACUGAUUUCUCUGGUAGAGGGGAGCUAUCAGCAAGAUAAAUGCGGCUGGCUAAGUAUCUUAGGAGCCUUCAGAAGUUAGCAGAUGAGGAGAAGAAGUCUCAUUCGCUUCUAAAAUGAUUCGAUCAGAGGGUCUGCAAGAACCAACACUAUAGUUCCAGAUCAAGGAGCAAUGUGGUUCCACUAUUUGUUGCAACAAAACAGAAGCCAAUCAUGUCACAUCCUAGAAUAUUAACAGAGUUAACUCUACCACAGCUAAGCACUAAACUUAUUCCGGUUCAUAUUUCAUAAAUGUCAGCUGAACCGAUAACUUACACUGCAAAACUGAAAUCUCAUGUAGGAGUUCUUAUGCAGCACUUGCUCUGUGAAAGCAACAAGAGGCUCCAAAAAAUUUCUGGCUCAAUUUGUCGAUGACCAAUAAAAUGUUUAAGCAUAGUGACUUUGUAACUAUAUGCCACGUAGGGGGAAAAACAAAUAGAUGCAACCUUCAGUACUAUUAUAUGCAUAUAUGUAUCUUCAUAGUUAAUCUUCUUUUUUCAAGGAAAACAAAAAAUGCUGCAGACUGGUCUAUUAUAAAUAAAUAUUUCUUGAACUUGGUUA
This is a long non-coding RNA of Panicum virgatum (switchgrass), 1443 nucleotides long. RefSeq lists it as uncharacterized. The record is from RefSeq and is a predicted model, not a curated record. Lineage: Eukaryota; Viridiplantae; Streptophyta; Magnoliopsida; Poales; Poaceae. The transcript has 4 exons.